GGAGGUUUGGCCGAGUGGCUUAAGGCGGCAGUCUUGAAAACUGCUGAUACUUUGUGGUAUCCAAGGGUUCGAAUCCCUUAGCCUCCU
Non-coding RNA from Mycoplasmataceae bacterium CE_OT135, 87 nucleotides. Lineage: Bacteria; Bacillati; Mycoplasmatota; Mollicutes; Mycoplasmatales; Mycoplasmataceae. The record is from Rfam.